UUGUAUUUAUUUAACCCUCUCAAGUUUUCUCUCCAGCUUUAACAGCCCAAUGCUACAUAUUUAUCUAAGCAGCUGAGCGUGUAGGGUGCUGGCACUUUACGCAUGUUUGCAACUGCUCCUGCCAUGAACUAAUGUACUAUCCUAUUUUGUUUUUUGUCUUCUGUCUUAUCUAUGUCUUCAUCGGGAACAACUGAAAAUGCCAAUGGAUAUUACUGGCAGGAUGUACUGCUACUUGUGUUACAAUCUCUGUGCACAAUAAUCAAAUGGCAAGUGCUUGCCAUUUGCCAUACUGUUGCCAUUGAUGAAUACUGUGUGUACUACUGUUUUCUGAUCAACAAAAAGCAGCCUGGUAUUUUGGGAGAAACAUUUGAAACAACUUUGAUACUUAGUUAUAACUUGUUUUGAGCAACAAAAUGUUCUUCAGAGACAAGAAGUAUUUACACGGUGUGAGUGAUCACAGCCCACCUUAAGUCAAGUUCUACCACAGCACCUGCAAGGAGGAGAGUGCCAGCUGAAUACACCCAUGAACCCUUAAUCUCCUUUGGUCCAUAGAUCACAUUUCAGCCAUGCAACCCUGUCCAACACCCUCUGUUAAAUAAAAAAAGUGUAUUUUAAGUCUCAAACAUUCCUAUCUUUGUAACAGCUGCUCCCCUCCUUGCUGAUGGCCAUCUUGUUGGCUGACUUUUAACGUCCCUCCCUUUGUUAAACAACAACAAAAUUCACUUUACAAAUGAUUAAAACUUAUCUGGUUGCUUUCCAUGCAUAGACUUACACUAGAGCACAACGGUAUGUUGCUGUGAAUGUGUACACUGACUCAUUCCAUUCCAUUCCAUGCUGUGCCUGCUAACAUAAAGGCAAUGAGGUGUGUUGUGUAAGUGUUGAAUCUGAGGUAAUGAUGAAAUGACUGGAAAUGAACCUGUGGGGAAAUCCCUGGCAUGGUGAUGUGGAUUAAAUUAAUUAAUUAGUAAAAAUGGAACAACCCAGAAAACAUCAAACAAGAACAUUGUGUGUGGGAAACCAAGUUACAAGACACUGCCUUGAGUACUCUGCAUCCUUAUCUUGAUUUGGUAUCUGAAUAUUUCCUUUAAACUUGCUACCCAGAGCACACUUCAAAUCAGUAAUAAUAAUAAUAAAUCAUUCAGGUGUUUAUAUAAGCAAUUCAUUUAAAUAAUAUAUUUUUAAUUCAUUAAUUUAUUAUAAACUUAGAAAAAAGUUUCAGUGGGGUUCUUUAUGGGUUCUUGACUCAGUUUGAAAGAACGCUUUAUGACAAAAAGGUUCUGAGAAAUGUCUUAAAUUAUUGCAUAAUACUUUCAUGUUUAACAGGUUAUUUCAAUUUUUUCUAGUGAUCUAGUUUAUGUGUUGUUUAAUUCAUGAAAUUGGAGUCUUUUAGUCUUUUUAUUUAAAGGGACUAAAUGAGGAUUAAAAAGAUUUAAAGGGU
Megalobrama amblycephala (Wuchang bream) is the source of this 1438-nucleotide long non-coding RNA. RefSeq lists it as uncharacterized. The transcript has 3 exons. The record is from RefSeq and is a predicted model, not a curated record. Lineage: Eukaryota; Metazoa; Chordata; Actinopteri; Cypriniformes; Xenocyprididae.